This 838-nucleotide ribosomal RNA is filed under the name uncultured bacterium. Its description in RNAcentral is "bacterial SSU rRNA". It matches the Rfam family "Bacterial small subunit ribosomal RNA", at positions 8 to 863 of the family's 1533-position model. The record is from RNAcentral.
AGAGUUUGAUCCUGGUCAGGAUGAACGCUGGCGGCGUGCUUAAUACAUGCAAGUCGAACGGAGAAUGUAGCAAUACAUUCUUAGUGGCGAACGGGUGAGUAACGCGUUGGUGACCUGCCUCGAAGAGAGGGAUAACAGUUCGAAAGGAUUGCUAAUACCUCAUACGGUUAUAGGGUUUAGAAGCCUAUAACUAAAGGAGUAAUUCACUUCGAGAGGGACCUGCGUACUAUCAGCUAGUUGGUGAGGUAAUGGCCCACCAAGGCGAUGACGGUUAGGGGACCUGAGAGGGUGGCCCCCCACAAUGGAACUGAAACACGGUCCAUACACCUACGGGUGGCAGCAGUAGGGAAUAUUAGUUAAUGUGCGAAAGCGCGAACUAGCAACGCCGCGUGUGCGAUGAAGGCCUUCGGGUCGUAAAGCACUUUUCUAAGGGAUGAGGAAGGACAGUACCUUAGGAAUAAGCAUCGGCUAACUACGUGCCAGCAGCCGCGGUAAAACGUAGGAUGCAAGCGUUAUCCGGAUUUACUGGGCGUAAAGCGCGUGUAGGCGGUUUGGUAAGUUGGAUGUGAAAGCUCCCGGCUCAACUGGGAGAGGUCGUUCAAUACUGCCAAGCUUGAGGAUGGUAGAGGGAGGUGGAAUUCCGAGUGUAGUGGUGAAAUGCGUAGAUAUUCGGAGGAACACCAGUGGCGAAAGCGGCCUCCUGGACCAUUUCUGACGCUCAGACGCGAAAGCUAGGGUAGCAAACGGGAUUAGAGACCCCGGUAGUCCUAGCUGUAAACGAUGUAGACUUGGGUGUCGGCGGGUUUUAAAUCCGUCGGUAUCGAAGCUAACGCGAUAA